AUACUUACCUGGGCGGGGUCAAUGGGCAAUCAGUAAGAUCUAUGGCCUAGGUUGGUGGCUUUCAUUGCACUCAGAAGGUGCACCUGCCUAAGUCUCCCCAAGAGGGCGAGCCUACGUCAUUAUUUGUGGCAGUUGGGGCCUGCGUUUGCGCAAGCCCCUU
Hibiscus syriacus is the source of this 160-nucleotide small nuclear RNA. RefSeq annotates it as U1 spliceosomal RNA. Lineage: Eukaryota; Viridiplantae; Streptophyta; Magnoliopsida; Malvales; Malvaceae. The record is from RefSeq and is a predicted model, not a curated record. The transcript has a single exon.